AUACCAUGAUAAAGGCAUCUCCUGAGUAACUCUUUGAAUCUUUCUCACGUAUCAUACAAGCUUUCAUCUUCAAGUUGAUGGAAUAAUGUGAUCUCAUUCCUUAACUU
This is a small nucleolar RNA of 107 nucleotides. It matches the Rfam family "Plant small nucleolar RNA R71". From Rfam's summary of the family: R71 is a member of the C/D box family of snoRNAs containing the C (UGAUGA) and D (CUGA) box motifs. Multiple nearly identical copies of this snoRNA have been identified in Arabidopsis, and it is thought to function as a 2'-O-ribose methylation guide for 18S ribosomal RNA. The record is from Rfam.